Molecule: ribosomal RNA, 429 nt
Filed under: Chloroflexota bacterium
Lineage: Bacteria; Bacillati; Chloroflexota
Description: Chloroflexi bacterium partial 16S ribosomal RNA
Rfam family: Bacterial small subunit ribosomal RNA
Source: RNAcentral
UGGGGAAUAUUGCACAAUGGGCGCAAGCCUGAUGCAGCCAUGCCGCGUGUAUGAAGAAGGCCUUCGGGUUGUAAAGUACUUUCAGCGGGGAGGAAGGGAGUAAAGUUAAUACCUUUGCUCAUUGACGUUACCCGCAGAAGAAGCACCGGCUAACUCCGUGCCAGCAGCCGCGGUAAUACGGAGGGUGCAAGCGCUAAUCGGAAUUACUGGGCGUAAAGCGCACGCAGGCGGUCGGUCAAGUCGGAUGUGAAAUCCCCGGGCUCAACCUGGGAACUGCAUUCGAAACUGGCAGGCUAGAGUCUUGUAGAGGGAGGUAGAAUUCCAGGUGUAGCGAUGAAAUGCGUAGAGAUCUGGAGGAAUACCGGUGGCGAAGGCGGCCCCCUGGACAAAGACUGACGCUCAGGUGCGAAAGCGUGGGGAGCAAACAGG